Topomyia yanbarensis is the source of this 1558-nucleotide long non-coding RNA. RefSeq lists it as uncharacterized. The record is from RefSeq and is a predicted model, not a curated record. The transcript has 4 exons. NCBI's taxonomy places the organism in Eukaryota, Metazoa, Arthropoda, Insecta, Diptera, Culicidae.
UGUUAUGUUUACAUAUGUUUGAAGAAAAGGGUUUUGCUCGAACGAUUUCAGAAUGUUCUUUCUAAUCGUUUCAAUAGGUAUAAUAGCUUAUAUUUGUUGAUAGUGAGUUUUAUUUUGGCUGCAAGUUGUGUGAUUAACUUAUUGUGGUUCUGAAUGUUGGUUCAAAACAGACCGCUCCUUUGAUUCCGUUCACACACGACCCCUACGCAGUCAGAAACUGAACCGAGGCUGCUGGAUGCUUGUAGAUCAACCAAAUUUGCUGGAACAGCAACUCCGUAUCACUAACGGCAUUCGUGAAAACGUUCAAUUGUGUUUUUGCGCGACAAAAAUAACCGUAUGAUUCUUUUACUUGCUUGAAAUCCGUGUGAAAAUCAACCCACUGUCGCUGCUUUAUUUACGUCAUCUGUAAAAGAAUCUCGACGCAUUGCACCGCUAGUGCUGCUACUUCGUUGGUUUUCUCCGCCAGUCAGCUUCAGCAACGAGAUCAAUGCCGUUGGAGACAGCAGUUGUCUCAAUGUGGCAGGCAAAAUGCACUACCUGUUGGUGAACUACUAUCACAAUUUUUCCGAUAGAUAUUUGAUGUCAUAUCUGAGAACUCCUAAGUUCAAUAACCUCUCGAAGAAUUUUCACAUUGUUUCUAGUCGAAUAUAAGGUCAUUUGAGAAUCGAGGACUUGAUUAACAGCGAAGAGCAGCUUUUUGAUGCGAUUCCGUUUGCAUUCCUCGUACCAGUCCCUAUGCCAACAGUAACCGUUUCUCGACAACAAAAAACGAAGUACAUGGUAGUUAAAUCCAGAAUUGAUGCGACAAACCAUAAUUCUGCACUCGGAUUGCAACUUAUGAUAGGCAAAGCUCGAUAGACGAAGUCGAAUCGAUUGGCUAAAGAUAAAGCUGAAGUAUUUUCAGAAGUGCAUAACUGAGGAAAGAAUGCGGUAGAUGUGUGAGUUGCAGUAUGAGGAAAACAUAACAGCACAGCCAUGAAGGAUUUGAAGGUGCGUUAGGAUCGUCUGGAUGCCAUUUAUUAGUUAGCGAUGAUCGAGAGGGUUUCGUGUAGCAGUGAGAACGCAUGUUCAUUCCAGCAGGCAUAGCUUCCCAGUAAAGUUCAGCCGGAAAUGAGCUGGAGUUCCAGCUGGUUCCAGUUAGUAUUCCGGCUCCAGUGACUAGUUAGUUCUAGUUAGAAUCGGGUUGGUUGUGUCACUGGAGCCGGAAUACUAACUGGAACUUGCCGGAAUUCCGGCUCAUUUGCGGCUGAACUUUACUGGGUUAACAAGACAGCAGGUGAGAGAAAUAACGCCGUUUUCAAUUUAGUAAACGUAAAGGUUCUUCCAAAUUUUAGGAAGUAAUUGGCAGAUGAGGCGAUAUCAUUCCUAAGCAACAAAAUGUUACAUUAUACCGGAUUCUUUCUCCAGGACAAAACGGACAUUAUGUGCAACUGCUGUUACAGGCACACCUUUUGGAGCUUAUCAUAAAAAUAAAACACAUCUCCGAAUGUACGUACUCGAUCUCAACCGAGGGUCACUCGAUUAUAAAACGUCGCUAUUAUAUAUGAGUGUUUUUUUA